Molecule: ribosomal RNA, 465 nt
Filed under: uncultured bacterium
Lineage: Bacteria
Description: bacterial SSU rRNA
Rfam family: Bacterial small subunit ribosomal RNA
Source: RNAcentral
CCUACGGGCUGCAGCAGUGGGGAACAUUGCACAAUGGGCGCAAGCCUGAUGCAGCCAUGCCGCGUGUGUGAAGAAGGCCUUCGGGUUGUAAAGCACUUUCAGCGGGGAGGAAGGCGAUAAGGUUAAUAACCUUGUCGAUUGACGUUACCCGCAGAAGAAGCACAGGCUAACUCCGUGCCAGCAGCCGCGGUAAUACGGAGGGUGCAAGCGAUAAUCGGAAUUACUGGGCGUAAAGCGCACGCAGGCGGUCUGUCAAGUCGGAUGUGAAAUCCCCGGGCUCAACCUGGGAACUGCAUUCGAAACUGGCAGGCUAGAGUCUUGUAGAGGGGGGUAGAAUUCCAGGUGUAGCGGUGAAAUGCGUAGAGAUCUGGAGGAAUACCGGUGGCGAAGGCGGCCCCCUGGACAAAGACUGACGCUCAGGUGCGAAAGCGUGGGGAGCAAACAGGAUUAGAUACCCUGGUAGUC